Molecule: long non-coding RNA, 364 nt
Organism: Fukomys damarensis (Damara mole-rat)
Lineage: Eukaryota; Metazoa; Chordata; Mammalia; Rodentia; Bathyergidae
Exons: 3
Source: RefSeq, a predicted model, not a curated record
GUGGAUGACUAACGCUGGGCCCUAUUCUAAGUGCUUCACUCAUGCAGGCUGUUUGGGCUUCUCACGAGGACUCUGGGGAGUAGGCAGCAUAAUUCUCCCAAAUAUACGAAAAAUGAGAACACUGAAACAUACAGAGGCACUGGAGCUGUGAUUCUUGCACUAAGAAGCAUGAAGGAUACAAAAGAGAAGCAAAAACCAGAAGCACAGAGAAGGAAGUAGGGGAAAACAUUGUAAAACAGAUGAGAAGAGCUGAAAACAAAAUCUGGAUUCCAUUGACAAUCGAUUUGAAAAUUAAGCCACAAAGGGAAAAUGGACAAUGAAGUCUUAUUAAAGAGGCAUCUUAUUAAAGACACAUUGAGCUCAA